Long non-coding RNA from Mesocricetus auratus (golden hamster), 1529 nucleotides. RefSeq lists it as uncharacterized. The transcript is spliced from 3 exons. NCBI's taxonomy places the organism in Eukaryota, Metazoa, Chordata, Mammalia, Rodentia, Cricetidae. The record is from RefSeq and is a predicted model, not a curated record.
AAGCCGAUAAGCAGUGCUCUUCCAGGGCCUCUGCAUCAGUUCCUGCCUCCAGGUUCCUGCCCUGCUUGAGUUUCUGUUCUAGCUUCCUUCGAGGAUAGCCUACAAUAUGAAAGAAUAAGCUAAAGAAACCAUUUCCUCUCCAACUCCUUUUUUUGUCAUGGAGUUAUGCUGCAGCAGUAGAAAGCCUAACUAAGACACCUUCCCUAACAACACAAACCUGGGACCAAAUAACUAAAUCCCAGAGGCAUUGAUUAAUCAAACCACCUCCAACAAGAAAAAGGCCUGGUCUGCUACAGUGGUGAACUUUUAACCUUUCCGCACAAAAUGGGGAAGCUCACUCAAGAAAGAAGAUGGGUUUAAAAAUAAAUGAAGGUGCUAAAUCUUUGAGUAAAGAUGGAGGUUGGAGCAAGGACUGAAGAGCAAGUGUUAGUGAGCUGGGUUGUGAAUGAAGCAGAUCUUGUUGGGCAGCUCCAGAGCCCUGAGGUAGCCAUCAAGGCAACAGUAUCACAUCUCUGGAGAAUACGAACAAGUUCAGACCUGACUUGCAUCUCCCAAUCCAACUCCUUCAUUAAAACAAAACUCCCCUGGGACUCUGCUGCUCAUUGAUGACACAAAUUGGUGGAUACCUGAGAUUGGCACAGACUUGAAAUAAAGGUCAGUUCUGCCAGGCACAGCUUCUCUUCCACAUGUUUUCUGUGAUAUAAUGAUGAAGAAGUUUCUGGAAAGACACAGCAUCUCUACCUGAGGCACAGGAACAGGGAGGAUAGGUUAUAUGCUGGAUGACUGAAAGGGAUUUGCCAUAUAAGGAAGUAGAAAAAGAGGACUUUCUGGAGGAGUCAUUUACUCUCAAAGUGAAGGCAGUGAAUCACUUUCCAAUGAAGAGGCUGAUCUAGAAGUCUGUAGUGUACAGUCCCUAGGAAGAAACUUGGAAGGACAGGAGAAAAGCCGCUAUCCCUGGAAAUUUUAUGUUCUACUUCUAGGACUUUUGUUUUUAUGUUGAAGACAAGAGAGAGAGAUUAAAUUAUUUAAAAUGCUUUGUGUGUAUGAGUGGGUACAUAUAUGUAGGAGUGAUAUGAUCUUCACAAAACUCUUCAUGGCCAUUAAUAGAACAAAGAUUGUGCUGGACAUUUGGAAACUAAGGGGGAAUCAAUAUAAGACUCCAAGGGAGAAAUGAGCAAUGGUCUGUCAAUAGCUGCGGUCACAGAAAACUAAAGAGAACUCCUUUCCUCCCCAUGUAAAAAGACAAGGCUGGAGCCUGUAAUCCUAGUCCUUGGAUAAAGACUUGAAGUUCAUCCUUAAUUAUAUGGAAAGUAGAAAAUCAGUCUGGGCUACUUGAGAUUUUGUCUCAAAAGACAAAAAACCAACAACAACAACAAAAAAAACCAAAACCUUCAAAGAACCCCCACCCAGAAAAACCUAAAAAAAGAUGGUUGGACUAGACAUGCAAUCACUUUCAGCGCCUAAAAUUCUCAUAUAUUCUGAACCAAUAUGAAUGACAUUCAAUUAAAUUUGGUUGGUGAAAUCCCAAA